Molecule: ribosomal RNA, 650 nt
Filed under: uncultured bacterium
Lineage: Bacteria
Description: bacterial SSU rRNA
Rfam family: Bacterial small subunit ribosomal RNA
Source: RNAcentral
GAGGCCUAACACAUGCAAGUCGAGCGGCAGCGCGGGAGCAAUCCUGGCGGCGAGCGGCGGACGGGCGAGCAAUGCUUGGGAAUCUGCCCAUCAGUGGGGGACAACCCGGGGAAACUCGGGCUAAUACCGCAUACGUUCUGAGGAAGAAAGCAGGGGAUCGCAAGACCUUGCGCUGAUGGAUGAGCCCAAGUCGGAUUAGCUAGUUGGUGAGGUAACGGCUCACCAAGGCGACGAUCCGUAGCUGGUCUGAGAGGACGACCAGCCACACCGGAACUGAGACACGGUCCGGACUCCUACGGGAGGCAGCAGUGGGGAAUAUUGGACAAUGGGGGCAACCCUGAUCCAGCGACGCCGCGUGGGUGAAGAAGGCCUGCGGGUUGUAAAGCCCUUUCGUUGGGGAAGAACAGUUCCGACCUAAUACGUCGGGACCUUGACGUUACCCAAAGAAGAAGCACCGGCUAACUCUGUGCCAGCAGCCGCGGUAAUACAGAGGGUGCGAGCGUUAAUCGGAAUUACUGGGCGUAAAGCGCACGUAGAUGGCUUUGUAAGUCGGAUGUGAAAUCCCCGGGCUCAACCUGGGAACUGCAUUCGAAACUGCAUUGCUCGAAUGUGGAAGAGGGAAGCGGAAUUCCAGGUGUAGCGGUGAAAUG